This 1307-nucleotide long non-coding RNA is filed under the name Oncorhynchus kisutch (coho salmon). Its description in RNAcentral is "lncRNA (ENSOKIG00005018900.1)". Lineage: Eukaryota; Metazoa; Chordata; Actinopteri; Salmoniformes; Salmonidae. The record is from RNAcentral.
AAAACAUGUUUUGGAAAAACAACAACAAAAACAACAAAAACAACAAAACCACAAAUCGCUAAGAAUUAUUUUAGACAUUUCACCAUGGAGUGCAAUAGAAAUUCACUGUCCCUAUAUGGCCGUUGCUAGUGUCACGUUCUGACCAUCGUUCGUAUGUGUUUUCCUUGUUUUAGUGUUGGUCAGGACGUGAGCUGGGUGGGCAUUCUAUGUUGCAUUCUAUGUCUAUGUUCUUUCACCAGAAGAAAACCGUUACAGAAUCACUCACCACAACAGGACCAAGCGGCGUGGUAACGGGCAACAGCAAAAGCAGCAGCAGGAGAAGGAACAGAGGCAGCAGCAGCAGGAAUAGCAACAGCGAGGUCAGGAUUUCGGGACAUGGGAGCAGAAUCUGGACUACACAACUUGGGAGGAGAUAGACAGGUGGGCGGUCGACCCAGGGAGAGUGCCGGAGCCUGCCUGGGAUUCGAUGGAGCAGUGUGCGGAAGGUUACAGGAGAAUGAGGUUGGCGAAGCAAGCACGGGGGGGGGGGGGGGGGGGGGGGGGCACAGGGAGAGUGUGGCAGAGUCAGGAGUCAGACCUGAGCCAACUCCCCCUGUUUAUCGUAAGGAGCCAAGGAGGAAACCAGAGCCGGUGUUGGAGGUGAGCGAAGCAGAGACGGUGAAGGAGUUAAUGGGGAGAUUGGAGGAGAGAGAUAUGAGGGAGUUGCUGUGUUGGUGCAUGAGACACGGAAUUCGCCCGACGGAGCGUGUCGAGGAUUUGAUGACACCUGGGUCAGCUCUCCAUACUCGUCCUGAGGUGCGUGCUAGUCGGCUGGUGAAGAUGGUGCCAGCCUCACGCACCAGGCCUCCUGUGCACCUCCCUAGCCUUACACGUCCUGUACCAGCUCAGCGCUACAGUGCGCCUAGCAGUGCUAACCGUGGCGGGCGUGGUACUGGUCAGGCACCGUGCUAUGCGGUGGAACGCACGGUGUCCCCAGUACGCGUGCUUAGCCCGGUACGCUACAUCUCAGCUCCUCACAUCUCCCGGGCUAGACUGAAGAUCCAGCCAGGGCGGUUGGUGCCAGCCCUGCUCUCAAGAUCUCCAGUACGCCUUCACGGUCCGGUCCAUCCAGUGCCACCUCCACACACUAGCCCUCCGGUGGCAGCUCCCCGCACCAGGCUUCCUGUGCGUGUCCUCGGCCCAGUACCACCAGUGCCAGCACCACGCAUCAGGCCUACAUUGCGUCCCGCCUGUCCACCGCUGCCGGAGCCUUCCUCCUCUCCAGCGCAGCCGGAGUCUCCCGCCUGUUCGGCGCUGCCAGAGCUCCC